Molecule: long non-coding RNA, 879 nt
Filed under: Macaca mulatta (Rhesus monkey)
Lineage: Eukaryota; Metazoa; Chordata; Mammalia; Primates; Cercopithecidae
Description: lncRNA (ENSMMUG00000060661.1)
Source: RNAcentral
GCCUACAUGGGGUCACCAGAAGGCUCCUCUCAGUGUGGGGACUCACAGAAAAGUGAAUGGAGGCAGUUCAAAUCUCAGUAUAGACUGGUGGGAUAGGAGCAUCUGGAAGUUGAGGGGUGGAGAAAUUUGUCUGGGGACUUCCAGCCUAUGCCACUAGAGCCAUUGCCAAAAUGUGAAUAGUCGCCUCUGACAUCCUGACUGGAUCUCAGGCUAAUCGCUGCCCCACCCCACCUUCUGUCCCUCUCUGCGUUCCUGUGAACUGAGUUCCCCGCAGCAUUUCCGAGGCUGCCACGUGGCUGCCAUCUUUCUCAUGGGGGAUCGUGGUGGUCACAUCAUUGGUCCUUUGCCUCUGGGAGUGUCUGAAACAUUGCAGCAACUUAAUACAUAUUUGUUGAUUGAAAGACUCGGUGACCAUUGAACAAGAGGGGCUGAUGGCAUCUUAAUGGGACUGUCAUCUCACAGCAAAAGAGAGAUGAAGAUUUAUAUACAUGCACACGAUCCACUGUGCAGGGUGCAGUGUGGGGAAAACCAGUGUGAGACAUGAACCCUGGUGAAUGUGGUUCUUCCUCGGGGGAUAACCCUUGGCAUGCUGACUUUCAUGGUACAUCGCCCACAUGCUGUAGGAGAAAGACUGCAGAUUUGGAAUUCAAAAACAAGACUUUGCUGUUUAUAAGAAUUGCAUUUCUGGAAAGGAGGGGGACUGUCCACACCAGCCAGCAACCUCAUACAUUAAAAGUCUAGGCUUUCUUUCACACCCAACUAAAAUCCAAGACCCCUUCCAAGAUUUGCCUUGUCACCCACCAGGGAAGAGGAGCCCCAUGACCCACAGGUAAGGAGGGUGGAACAUGAAGAUGCCUCCGGGGGUGCAGGGGGAGAAAG